Molecule: ribosomal RNA, 490 nt
Filed under: uncultured bacterium
Lineage: Bacteria
Description: partial 16S ribosomal RNA
Rfam family: Bacterial small subunit ribosomal RNA
Source: RNAcentral
AUUGAACGCUGGCGGCAGGCCUAACACAUGCAAGUCGAACGGUAACAGGGAUCAGCUUGCUGAUUCGCUGACGAGUGGCGGACGGGUGAGUAAUGUCUGGGAAACUGCCUGAUGGAGGGGGAUAACUACUGGAAACGGUAGCUAAUACCGCAUAACGUCGCAAGACCAAAGAGGGGGACCUUCGGGCCUCUUGCCAUCGGAUGUGCCCAGAUGGGAUUAGCUAGUAGGUGGGGUAACGGCUCACCUAGGCGACGAUCCCUAGCUGGUCUGAGAGGAUGACCAGCCACACUGGAACUGAGACACGGUCCAGACUCCUACGGGAGGCAGCAGUGGGGAAUAUUGCACAAUGGGCGCAAGCCUGAUGCAGCCAUGCCGCGUGUAUGAAGAAGGCCUUCGGGUUGUAAAGUACUUUCAGCGGGGAGGAAGGGAGUAAAGUUAAUACCUUUGCUCAUUGACGUUACCCGCAGAAGAAGCACCGGCUGACUCCGUG